This 623-nucleotide unclassified non-coding RNA is filed under the name Aspergillus hortae. RNAcentral's name for it is "sequence contains 18S rRNA gene, ITS1, 5.8S rRNA gene, ITS2, 28S rRNA gene". The stretch from base 233 to 386 matches the Rfam family "5.8S ribosomal RNA". The record is from RNAcentral. Lineage: Eukaryota; Fungi; Ascomycota; Eurotiomycetes; Eurotiales; Aspergillaceae.
AGUCGUAACAAGGUUUCCGUAGGUGAACCUGCGGAAGGAUCAUUACCGAGUGCGGGUCUUUAUGGCCCAACCUCCCACCCGUGACUAUUGUACCUUGUUGCUUCGGCGGGCCCGCCAGCGUUGCUGGCCGCCGGGGGGCGACUCGCCCCCGGGCCCGUGCCCGCCGGAGACCCCAACAUGAACCCUGUUCUGAAAGCUUGCAGUCUGAGUGUGAUUCUUUGCAAUCAGUUAAAACUUUCAACAAUGGAUCUCUUGGUUCCGGCAUCGAUGAAGAACGCAGCGAAAUGCGAUAACUAAUGUGAAUUGCAGAAUUCAGUGAAUCAUCGAGUCUUUGAACGCACAUUGCGCCCCCUGGUAUUCCGGGGGGCAUGCCUGUCCGAGCGUCAUUGCUGCCCUCAAGCCCGGCUUGUGUGUUGGGCCCUCGUCCCCCGGCUCCCGGGGGACGGGCCCGAAAGGCAGCGGCGGCACCGCGUCCGGUCCUCGAGCGUAUGGGGCUUCGUCUUCCGCUCCGUAGGCCCGGCCGGCGCCCGCCGACGCAUUUGUUUGCAACUUGUUUUUUUCCAGGUUGACCUCGGAUCAGGUAGGGAUACCCGCUGAACUUAAGCAUAUCAAUAAGCGGAGGA